GAUGAACGCUGGCGGCGUGCCUAAUACAUGCAAGUCGAGCGAACGUACGAGAAGCUUGCUUCUUUGAUGUUAGCGGCGGACGGGCGAGUAACACGUGGCUAACCCACCUAUAAGACUGGGACAACUUCGGGAAACCGGCGCUAAUACCGGAUAAUAUUUUGAUCCGCAUGGUUCAAAAGUGAAAGACGGUCUUCCUGUCCCUUAUAGACGGACCCGCGCUGCAUUAUCUAGUUGGUAAGGUAACAGCUUACCAAGGCAACGAUGCAUAGCCGACCUAAGAGGGUGAUCGGGCACACUGGAACUGAGAAACGGUCCAGACUCCUACGGGAGGCAGCAGUAGGGAAUCUUCCGCAAUGGGCGAAAGCCUGCCGGAGGAACGCCGCGUGAGUGAUGAAGGUCUUCGGAUCGUAAAACUCUGUUAUUAGGGAAGAACAUAUGUGUAAGUAACUGUGCACAUCUUGACGGUACCUAAUCAGAAAGCCACGGAUAACUACGUG
RNAcentral lists this ribosomal RNA (497 nucleotides) under uncultured bacterium. RNAcentral's name for it is "partial 16S ribosomal RNA". It matches the Rfam family "Bacterial small subunit ribosomal RNA", at positions 28 to 507 of the family's 1533-position model. The record is from RNAcentral.